RNAcentral lists this ribosomal RNA (495 nucleotides) under uncultured bacterium. RNAcentral describes it as "partial 16S ribosomal RNA". It matches the Rfam family "Bacterial small subunit ribosomal RNA", at positions 28 to 507 of the family's 1533-position model. The record is from RNAcentral.
GACGAACGCUGGCGGCGUGCCUAAUACAUGCAAGUAGAACGCUGAAGGAGGAGCUUGCUUCUCUGGAUGAGUUGCGAACGGGUGAGUAACGCGUAGGUAACCUGCCUGGUAGCGGGGGAUAACUAUUGGAAACGAUAGCUAAUACCGCAUAAUAGUAGAUGUUGCAUGACAUUUGCUUAAAAGGUGCAAUUGCAUCACUACCAGAUGGACCUGCGUUGUAUUAGCUAGUUGGUGGGGUAACGGCUCACCAAGGCGACGAUACAUAGCCGACCUGAGAGGGUGAUCGGCCACACUGGGGCUGAGACACGGCCCAGACUCCUACGGGAGGCAGCAGUAGGGAAUCUUCGGCAAUGGACGGAAGUCUGACCGAGCAACGCCGCGUGAGUGAAGAAGGGUUUCGGAUCGUAAAGCUCUGUUGUAAGAGAAGAACGAGUGUGAGAGUGGAAAGUUCACACUGUGACGGUAUCUGACCAGAAAGGGACGGCUAACUACGUG